GAUGAACGCUGGCGGCGUGCCUAAUACAUGCAAGUCGAGCGAACAGAUGAGGAGCUUGCUCCUCUGACGUUAGCGGCGGACGGGUGAGUAACACUUGGAUAACCUACCUAUAAGACUGGGAUAACUUCGGGAAACCGGAGCUAAUACCGGAUAAUAUAUUGAACCGCAUGGUUCAUUAGUGAAAGCCGGUUUUGCUGUCACUUUUAGAUGGAUCCGCGCCGCAUUAGCUAGUUGGUAAGGUAACGGCUUACCAAGGCAACGAUGCGUAGCCGACCUGAGAGGGUGAUCGGCCACACUGGAACUGAGACACGGUCCAGACUCCUACGGGAGGCAGCAGUAGGGAAUCUUCCGCAAUGGGCGAAAGCCUGACGGAGCAACGCCGCGUGAGUGAUGAAGGUCUUCGGAUCGUAAAACUCUGUUAUUAGGGAAGAACAAAUGUGUAAGUAACUAUGCACGUCUUGACGGUACCUAAUCAGAAAGCCACGGCUAACUACGUG
This 497-nucleotide ribosomal RNA is filed under the name uncultured bacterium. RNAcentral's name for it is "partial 16S ribosomal RNA". It matches the Rfam family "Bacterial small subunit ribosomal RNA", at positions 28 to 507 of the family's 1533-position model. The record is from RNAcentral.